CUUGUGCUUCCUCUCUUAAACCAGUAGGUUCUCCCUGCUCAUUUCCAGUAGGUUCUCCCUGCUCAUUUCCACCUGACUGAGCUCCACUCUCUACUUCAUGUGUCUCCUCCUGAUCAUGCUGACCUGAAUCCUCUUGGUUAUGCUCCUGCUCCCCUGAUUCAGAUCCAUUCCCCCUCUCAUGAUCAAGAGGAGUUGUUCCUCCAGCUUCUCCAGCUUGAUUAGAAGGUACUGUUCUUCCUGGUUCCUGAUCUUGG
This 254-nucleotide long non-coding RNA is filed under the name Brassica napus (rape). Its description in RNAcentral is "long non-coding RNA (BNAP_LNC004425)". Lineage: Eukaryota; Viridiplantae; Streptophyta; Magnoliopsida; Brassicales; Brassicaceae. The record is from RNAcentral.